Molecule: ribosomal RNA, 1367 nt
Filed under: uncultured beta proteobacterium
Lineage: Bacteria; Pseudomonadati; Pseudomonadota; Betaproteobacteria
Description: bacterial SSU rRNA
Rfam family: Bacterial small subunit ribosomal RNA
Source: RNAcentral
AAAUUGAACGCUGGCGGCAUGCCUUACACAUGCAAGUCGAACGGCAGCACGGGUGCUUGCACCUGGUGGCGAGUGGCGAACGGGUGAGUAAUACAUCGGAACAUGUCCUGUAGUGGGGGAUAGCCCGGCGAAAGCCGGAUUAAUACCGCAUACGAUCUACGGAUGAAAGCGGGGGACCUUCGGGCCUCGCGCUAUAGGGUUGGCCGAUGGCUGAUUAGCUAGUUGGUGGGGUAAAGGCCUACCAAGGCGACGAUCAGUAGCUGGUCUGAGAGGACGACCAGCCACACUGGGACUGAGACACGGCCCAGACUCCUACGGGAGGCAGCAGUGGGGAAUUUUGGACAAUGGGCGAAAGCCUGAUCCAGCAAUGCCGCGUGUGUGAAGAAGGCCUUCGGGUUGUAAAGCACUUUUGUCCGGAAAGAAAUCCUUGGCUCUAAUACAGUCGGGGGAUGACGGUACCGGAAGAAUAAGCACCGGCUAACUACGUGCCAGCAGCCGCGGUAAUACGUAGGGUGCGAGCGUUAAUCGGAAUUACUGGGCGUAAAGCGUGCGCAGGCGGUUUGCUAAGACCGAUGUGAAAUCCCCGGGCUCAACCUGGGAACUGCAUUGGUGACUGGCAGGCUAGAGUAUGGCAGAGGGGGGUAGAAUUCCACGUGUAGCAGUGAAAUGCGUAGAGAUGUGGAGGAAUACCGAUGGCGAAGGCAGCCCCCUGGGCCAAUACUGACGCUCAUGCACGAAAGCGUGGGGGAGCAAACAGGAUUAGAUACCCUGGUAGUCCACGCCCUAAACGAUGUCAACUAGUUGUUGGGGAUUCAUUUCCUUAGUAACGUAGCUAACGCGUGAAGUUGACCGCCUGGGGAGUACGGUCGCAAGAUUAAAACUCAAAGGAAUUGACGGGGACCCGCACAAGCGGUGGAUGAUGUGGAUUAAUUCGAUGCAACGCGAAAAACCUUACCUACCCUUGACAUGGUCGGAAUCCCGCUGAGAGGUGGGAGUGCUCGAAAGAGAACCGGCGCACAGGUGCUGCAUGGCUGUCGUCAGCUCGUGUCGUGAGAUGUUGGGUUAAGUCCCGCAACGAGCGCAACCCUUGUCCUUAGUUGCUACGCAAGAGCACUCUAAGGAGACUGCCGGUGACAAACCGGAGGAAGGUGGGGAUGACGUCAAGUCCUCAUGGCCCUUAUGGGUAGGGCUUCACACGUCAUACAAUGGUCGGAACAGAGGGUUGCCAACCCGCGAGGGGGAGCUAAUCCCAGAAAACCGAUCGUAGUCCGGAUUGCACUCUGCAACUCGAGUGCAUGAAGCUGGAAUCGCUAGUAAUCGCGGAUCAGCAUGCCGCGGUGAAUACGUUCCCGGGUCUUGUACUCACC